This is a long non-coding RNA of Dalotia coriaria, 996 nucleotides long. RefSeq lists it as uncharacterized. The transcript is spliced from 2 exons. The record is from RefSeq and is a predicted model, not a curated record. Lineage: Eukaryota; Metazoa; Arthropoda; Insecta; Coleoptera; Staphylinidae.
AUCAUUACAUGGCGUUAAACUCAAUAAAUUAUAGCAAACAAGCAAUACGCAUUCUUUAGAACGCAGUGUCUUAUCAGAAUGCGCUUGAAUUCGAGUUAAUUGCUCAGAGAUAAGAAACUUUAUCAUCGGCCGGGAUUUAUAAUUACAGCUCAUAAUGUUAGUAUGCUAGAAAUUCCCGAGAUUUGCCUCUAAACCGCUGAAUACAGUACACAGUACACGUUUCAAUUGCGUAUUCAAAUAUGUGGCCAUUUACAAAAAAAGAGGUGUUAAUUGUUGGUAAAGAAGAGCCCGAUCCGGAUUGGGAAGGUAUUGCCGGCUUACAAUACAUACCGACAUCGGAAUUUAACGUUAAAUAUGUGCCUCCGUCUAAUUUUCACCAUCAUGAUGAACCCUCUUCGCAGCCUACUUUUGAAAAAGUCGAAUUAAGAACAGAAACGAAUAAAACACAAACACCGAAAGUAAAGGCACCUGAACCACAACAAAACCGUAAACAUAUUUUGAAUCAUGAGCCCGUGAAUGUGUUUAACGUUGACCUGGAGACCGAAAAUAGUAACCUAGACUAUAGUGAUGAAGAAAAUGAUCACGCUCACGAGAAUAUUGAAGAUUUUAGCUUCGUCAAGCAUGAAGAACCCACCGGACGCACUGUCAGGUAUUCUCAAAGCGCUCACAUGGCUAACGCACUAUAUUGAAGGAAAUAAAAUAUUCGCAACCAAAAAUCAUUACCUGUGUAACUUUGCUAGAGGAAACUGCAGACACAACUUCUGGUAGAACUCAUAAAACUCCUUGUAUGUACGGUACAUCUUCAUCGAAUCAGUUUGUCCUUCACGGAACACGCUCAAAAUGUACACGUAAUAUUUAUCCGGGUCGUAGCACUUUUUGUAAUUCUCUACUUGAACUUCAACGAUCCUUCCAUCUGUUACCAUGCUAUAUAUUAAAGAAUGAAUGUAUUUGUUAUCAAUUGGACUUAUUUAUAAAUAAAUAUGAAUAAUACCUGUA